CGGACGGGUGAGUAACACGUGGAUAACCUACCUAUAAGACUGGGAUAACUUAGGGAAACAGGAGCUAAUACCGGAUAAUAUAUUGAACCGCAUGGUUCAAUAGUGAAAGACGGUUUUGCUGUCACUUAUAGAUGGAUCCGCGCCGCAUUAGCUAGUUGGUAAGGUAAAGGCUUACCAAGGCAACGAUGCGUAGCCGACCUGAGAGGGUGAUCGGCCACACUGGAACUGAGACACGGUCCAG
Molecule: ribosomal RNA, 241 nt
Filed under: uncultured Staphylococcus sp.
Lineage: Bacteria; Bacillati; Bacillota; Bacilli; Caryophanales; Staphylococcaceae
Description: partial 16S ribosomal RNA
Rfam family: Bacterial small subunit ribosomal RNA
Source: RNAcentral